RNAcentral lists this ribosomal RNA (253 nucleotides) under uncultured bacterium. RNAcentral describes it as "partial 16S ribosomal RNA". It matches the Rfam family "Bacterial small subunit ribosomal RNA", at positions 524 to 776 of the family's 1533-position model. The record is from RNAcentral.
UACGUAUGGAGCAAGCGUUAUCCGGAUUUACUGGGUGUAAAGGGAGCGCAGGCGGCUUUGCAAGUCUGAUGUGAAAGGCCGGGGCUCAACCCCGGGACUGCAUUGGAAACUGUAAAGCUAGAGUGCCGGAGGGGUAAGCGGAAUUCCUAGUGUAGCGGUGAAAUGCGUAGAUAUCACGAAGAACUCCGAUUGCGAAGGCAGCUCACUGGACUGCAACUGACACUGAGGCUCGAAAGUGUGGGUAUCAAACAGG